This 468-nucleotide ribosomal RNA is filed under the name uncultured bacterium. Its description in RNAcentral is "partial 16S ribosomal RNA". It matches the Rfam family "Bacterial small subunit ribosomal RNA", at positions 28 to 507 of the family's 1533-position model. The record is from RNAcentral.
GACGAACGCUGGCGGCGUGCUUAACACAUGCAAGUCGAACGGAAAGGCCCUGCUUUUGUGGGGUGCUCGAGUGGCGAACGGGUGAGUAACACGUGAGUAACCUGCCCUUGACUUUGGGAUAACUUCAGGAAACUGGGGCUAAUACCGGAUAGGAGCUCCUGCUGCAUGGUGGGGGUUGGAAAGUUUCGGCGGUUGGGGAUGGACUCGCGGCUUAUCAGCUUGUUGGUGGGGUAGUGGCUUACCAAGGCUUUGACGGGUAGCCGGCCUGAGAGGGUGACCGGCCACAUUGGGACUGAGAUACGGCCAAGACUCCUACGGGAGGCAGCAGUGGGGAAUAUUGCAAAAUGGGCGGAAGCCUGAUGCAGCAACGCCGCGUGCGGGAUGACGGCCUUCGGGUUAUAACCCGCUUUCGCCUGUGACGAAGCGUGAGUGACGGUAAUGGGUAAAGAAGCACCGGCUAACUACGUG